GAGCCUUUGCCGCCCGAAGGGUGCGCAUACCGCGACUCUAAACAAGCAUGUAUGCCAAGGGCAAGUCGUGCACUCGGCACGGCCACGCUGUCAAAUUGCGGGGCGUCCCUGAGAGCUUUCACUACUAAGCGUGCGUCCGAAAGGGCGUCGUGGCCAGGGUAAUUCCCUCGGGUAUAGUCACAACGUGAAAGAUUGGGUCACCUGCAGCCAAGUCCUGUCGUCACGGGGGGGGCCCUUCCUCCUCUCCCGGGCUAUGGAUGCUGUUCACAGGCCAAAUGGUGGCGGGUUCAGCCGUACUUUUGGUGCGGUUGGGCUCAAGAUAUGGUCGGUCCUGCGAGGAAACUCGUGGGGAGUUCACUGGUAACAAGACAAUCACAAAACGUUCCGUAGGUGAACCUGCGGAAGGAUCAUUAUCGAGUUAGGGUUCCUCUCACGGGCCCGAUCUCCCAACCCUGUGUCUACUACACCUUGUCGUUGCUUCGGCGGACCGGUCCCUCCAACCGCCGGGGGUGCAUGCCCCUGGAGAGUGUCCGCCGAUGGCCCAACCACAACAAAACUCUUUGUACGAAACCAUGUCGUCUGAAGUUACUUGAUAAUAAUCAACACAAAACUUUCAACAACGGAUCUCUUGGUUCUGGCAUCGAUGAAGAACGCAGCGAAAUGCGAUAAGUAAUGCGAAUUGCAGAAUUUCCGUGAGUCAUCGAAUCUUUGAACGCACAUUGCGCCCAUUGGCAUUCCGAUGGGCAUGCCUGUUCGAGCGUCAUUAUCCUCCCUCAAAUCCCCUGGGUUUGGUGUUGGACUCUGUUGUGCGGUGCUGGCACAACUGGUCUCAAAGACAAUGACGGCGUCCGUGGGACCCUCGGUGCAACGAGCUUUUUUCGAAGCACGCGUCGAGUGGACAAGUCUCUCCGGGCCGGUCUCCCU
This 924-nucleotide unclassified non-coding RNA is filed under the name Arthrocladium fulminans. RNAcentral describes it as "sequence contains 18S rRNA gene, ITS1, 5.8S rRNA gene, ITS2, 28S rRNA gene". The stretch from base 609 to 763 matches the Rfam family "5.8S ribosomal RNA". The record is from RNAcentral. Lineage: Eukaryota; Fungi; Ascomycota; Eurotiomycetes; Chaetothyriales; Trichomeriaceae.